ACACGGAGGGUGCAAGCGUUAUCCGGAUUCAUUGGGUUUAAAGGGUGCGCAGGCGGAAUGAUAAGUCAGUGGUGAAAUCCUACAGCUUAACUGUAGAACUGCCAUUGAUACUGUCAUUCUUGAGUACACUUGAAGUGGGCGGAAUGUAUCAUGUAGCGGUGAAAUGCAUAGAUAUGCUACAGAACUCCGAUAGCGAAGGCAGCUCACUAAAUUGUAACUGACGCUCAGGCACGAAAGCGUGGGGAGCAAACAGGAUUAGAAACCCGGGUAGUCC
This 274-nucleotide ribosomal RNA is filed under the name uncultured bacterium. RNAcentral's name for it is "partial 16S ribosomal RNA". It matches the Rfam family "Bacterial small subunit ribosomal RNA", at positions 523 to 796 of the family's 1533-position model. The record is from RNAcentral.